CCUACGGGCGGCAGCAGUGAGGAAUAUUGGUCAAUGGGAGAGAUCCUGAACCAGCCAAGCCGCGUGAGGGAAGACGGCCCUAUGGGUUGUAAACCUCUUUUGUCGGAGAACAAAACCCGGGACGUGUCCCGGACUGCGUGUAUCCGAAGAAAAAGCAUCGGCUAACUCCGUGCCAGCAGCCGCGGUAAUACGGAGGAUCCGAGCGUUAUCCGGAUUUAUUGGGUUUAAAGGGAGCGUAGGUGGAUUGUUAAGUCAGUUGUGAAAGUUUGCGGCUCAACCGUAAAAUUGCAGUUGAAACUGGCAGUCUUGAGUACAGUAGAGGUGGGCGGAAUUCGUGGUGUAGCGGUGAAAUGCAUAGAUAUCACGCAGAACUCCGAUUGCGAAGGCAGCGUACCGGCGCCCAACUGACGCUGAAGCACGAAGGCGUGGGUAUCGAACAGGAUUAGAUACCCGAGUAGUC
RNAcentral lists this ribosomal RNA (460 nucleotides) under uncultured bacterium. RNAcentral describes it as "partial 16S ribosomal RNA". It matches the Rfam family "Bacterial small subunit ribosomal RNA", at positions 338 to 795 of the family's 1533-position model. The record is from RNAcentral.